RNAcentral lists this ribosomal RNA (254 nucleotides) under uncultured bacterium. RNAcentral describes it as "partial 16S ribosomal RNA". It matches the Rfam family "Bacterial small subunit ribosomal RNA", at positions 524 to 776 of the family's 1533-position model. The record is from RNAcentral.
UACGAAGGGGGGCUAGCGUUGCUCGGAAUUACUGGGCGUAAAGGGCGCGUAGGCGGACAGUUUAGUCAGAGGUGAAAGCCCAGGGCUCAACCUUGGAAUUGCCUUUGAUACUGGCUGUCUUGAGUUCGGGAGAGGUGAGUGGAAUGCCGAGUGUAGAGGUGAAAUUCGUAGAUAUUCGGCGGAACACCAGUGGCGAAGGCGACUCACUGGCCCGAUACUGACGCUGAGGAGCGAAAGCGUGGGGAGCGAACAGG